CCAAAUCACAAUAAAACUGGAUAAUUAAACCUUCCCCCUUAAAGGGUUACAUAAAAAAAAUCUCCUAGGUUGUCUAACCUUUAAACACAAUCAUUCAAAUGCGGAAAAUAAAUAAUCUUUAUUACAACCAUUCCAUUAAAAACUGAUAAUAAAAUAUCAUCAAAUUACAAGUCUUCAAAACUUGUUCAUCUUUCCUUUUCCCUUACUGGUGCUAGGUACAUCAACCUUCUCAUCCUUAACUAUAAUAAUUAUAUAAGCAAGAGUGAGCAAACAAAGCUCACUUGAUACAAUAAUCAAUGAAAAACCUUUACAACAAAUGUAAAAUAAGAGACUCAAUAGAUUUAAACAAUUACGAUUUGUCAACAAUCUGAAGUAAAUAACUGAGGGUCCUAAGACCACGAACUAUGUCCAUAGUGAUAAGUAAUGUUUCAACUUAAACUUUAACAGUCAUAAGACUAUAGGGACUCCUCGUACUUAGGGGGAUCAACCCUUUGUACAAUGUAUUGUGCACAAACAUUUCAACGCUAAGCGUAAGUUACCCCCAAUAAUAGGGUUGUUCAUCUCAGUACUUAGAGUACAAGUCCGCACCAAAAUGAGUUUGGUUUGGAUACAUUUUAGGGUAAUUUAGAAUUCAACGAACAUCAACUAAGGAUUAGUUGAAUAAAACCAAUAACAUCGUACUAUAGAAUAAUCGUAAUUGAAUCAACAUGGUAAACCAAAAUCAUGCUUUAGGAAUAAUCUAAUAGCAUAUACUUUGAAUAACUAUAACAUGCCUUGCUUGAACAAUAUUAAGUCAAGGUUAAUUAGAAUUGAGUACUAAGCAUGCAUAGUAGUUUGAACGAUAAAAUUGUUCGACAUUAGUAUAAAUAGUUGUUCAUGCUAAACAACAAGUUAAAUACAAGAAUAACUUGUCAACAUCAAACCAAAGUUUAGAAAGCUUGCAUCAUUUAUAAGGUAAUCGAAUUGAAACAAUAAAUAGUUCAACAAGAUAAAGAAUUAGAAAACUUGCAUUGCUCGUAGGCUAAACCGAAUCAAUUCGGAUCACAAUACCUUAUAUGUACAUAUGUACAUAUAUAUAUAUAUAUGUCAUCAUGACAUAGUUAGUCACUACUACUUUACAAAUUUAACUAACUAUAUACAUAAUAUAGGUUUGAUUAUUUAAUCAUAUAAUCAAGUUAUAACACAAGUUAAUUGUUAAUAACAUACUUAUUCUUAGUAUAGAAAUACUAAUAUCAACAUUUUACAGUCCUACUAUCAUCACAUAACAAUUUCUUAACAUUUGAGUACAAAAAAAAUACACUGUCAGACCAUUCUGCUAACUCGCGCUGCGGCGCCACAGUUUAUACUGUGGUGCGGCGCUGCGGCGCAAGAAUAACGCUACAAGGCCGCGCUGUGGCGCGAAAGAUGAACUGAUGGGCCGCGCUGCGGCGCCAAACUGUAGUUUCGACUGACAGCUUCGGCAACAGUAUAAGAAAAAGCCAAUUUUGGCCUAAAAGUUCCUUUCUAACAGCCUAAUUCACAUGAAAUUCAUACAAAGACUUCAUGUAAACAUAAUUCAAAGAUUGUAAAUAUGUUUCUACUCAUAAAACAAUAUAAACAACAAAUUUAACACAUACAAUUUCACUAUUUUUGAUAAAAACUCACUUUUUGAUGUUUUUGACGAAAAUAAACACUGUGAUUUUGUUUUUCAACCAAAACAGUUAAUUCAAAGCAUUUUAUCAAUGUUUAUACAUACUCUAUCAAACUCAACAGUCAAUUUAUCAAUUAAACAACUAAUUACCCUUAAUUUUUACUUUAAACUAAACAAUAUAUAUAUACACAAACUCUCUGUAAAAAUAGCUUUUCUUCACAACCAUAUACAUAAUACAAAUUCAUGGACUAUUCUCCAUUAUAGCUUAAGAAAAUAGUUUAACAACACUAGAUUAUCAUAUAAAAUCACAUACAUAACAAAUAAUUUAUCCUUACACAAGGAUUUUACAUAGAAUUAGGGAAGAGAAAAAAGUAAACCUUUAAAACUAAAAAGAAUAAGAUAAUACCUUGAAGAAGAUGAUGAUGGCUAUUCCCUUUUUUUUUUUUAUUCUCAAGCUUUUCUUCUCACCAAUUCCCUAGCAUUUCUUCCUCUCUUCUUUUCUCUCUCACUUUUCUUCUCUUCUUCUUCUUCUUCUUCUUCUUCUUCUUCUUCUUCUUCUUCUUCCUCUGAGUUUUCUCUUUUCUUCCUAACUCUAACUACGUACUAACAAUGUAAUGUAUAUAGGAUAUAAUUUAUAUUAAUUAUAUAAUAUAAAUACAGAUAUAACUGAUAUCCGUUAUCUAAGUUUUGAAAACCAAAAGCCAUAAGGCUUGUUUGGCUAGUCACUAAAAAAAUAACCAAUUAAUCCUUAUGCCUUGUUUGGUAAAACACAAUUAGAAUAAAGACUUAAUAGGCAUUAGGCAUUGUUUGGCAAAACUAAAUUAAAACUCCUUUAACUUAUUUUAAUAACUACUUUAUAAAAGGUUAUUUGUCACACUUUUAAUAAAUUAAAUUAAUCUUAAUAACAAUAUAUUAAAUUUCUUUAACACAUAAAUCAAUACCACAAAAUUAUAAUUUUCUAUAUAUUAUAACUUUAUUUAACCAACUAACACAUCCUUUUAAUUACAAAAUUCAAAUAAAAAGAAUAAUAAUUCAAUUAAUCAAAACUCUCUAACUUAAUAAUUAAAUUAAAUUAGCAAAUAUAAUAAUUUUCUUAAUUAUUUAUUUAACAGAUAGUUAACCAAAUUGAAUCAAAUUUGAACAAUUACAAAUUCAACCAUAAACACAUCCAUUAAAUACUUAAAUAAUUCAAUAAAUAUUUAAUAUAACUAUUAAAAUUCUGGAAUGUUACAAUUAUGACCAGGGAUUAUUCGGUAUAAUCAUGACCAUUAAUGAUUACAUAAAUAUCCUUGGCCCGUAAUGCAGGGAUGAUUCGAUGAUGUGGUUUAUUUAUUAAGCUGAGUAUCAGCGAUAAAGUUGAUGAAAAACUUUUUAAAUCAUAGAAGAUAGUAGAUUUUAUGCUCUACUUGACUCUUCUAAUGGAUUGCUUAUUCCGCUGCAGUUGUUGAUCUAAAACUUGUUGUCUAUGGUAUUCUAUCAGUUGUUAUACUGUUGAAGGCUAAGGAUAAUUUAUUCUGCAUUAUCUUAGUCAUAAUAUUUCUUACUGGGCUAGUUGAGCUCACUCUUUUCUUUCAUUGUUCUCUUCANNNNNNNNNNNNNNNNNNNNNNNNNNNNNNNNNNNNNNNNNNNNNNNNNNNNNNNNNNNNNNNNNNNNNNNNNNNNNNNNNNNNNNNNNNNNNNNNNNNNUUUUGUCGUAUUUUACACGACUGUUGUAUAAUUAAGUUGUAUUUGAAUAUAUGUACCAUGUAUCUGGCGACCCAAGAUGGGUGAUGUAUACCUGUUUUGGGGGAGUCACAGCGUCGUCUCAACAUACAUUCUAAACAAUAAUGUCCCACAAGAACUAAGGAGUUGCAAUCCCGAGUGAUUACCACGCAAGGCAGAACACCGGAUAGAAUUUGAAGCUUGAAGACAUAGGACAUGGUUCCAUCUUCCUGACUUCGUACAACCUCUAAACCCAUGUCAUUGCGUAGCUCUCGACAACGGCAGUCCUAAACAUGUCUUAUAUACCUCAAUCGGAUGCUCGGAUUAAAGUUCUGUAAGUUCGAACGGAUAUCAUGUUGCACGCGUGCACGUACUUCGAGACAGUGAGACCCGCAGAGCCCGGGGCACCCCGGGCAGCAGCAGGUGCAUCUGCGGCUGCCGCAGGUACACCUGCGGCUGCCCCCUCUAUAAAUAGAGUGCUUGGGGUGGCCAUAUUUCAAGAAAAGAUGGCGAGGAAGCCCUGUCCAAUUUGCUCUGUAUACACCCUAUAUUGAGUGUUUUCUCAUUUUAAACACUUGUGAGCUCACAUAUAGCUAUUUUUUACCAGCGAGAGCCGAGUGUUCAUCCACUUAAAGCUAUAGAAGUCUUCUUUGGCAGUCCACUAUAAGCCUUCUUACACACUAUAAAGCCUUUCUCUUCAUCUUUGCGCACACUCUUCUUCACGUUGAGAGUCAUGUUAUGUGUGUAUGCCCGGACUUCGGUCUGUGGUUUUCAUUUCUAUUUGUAUAUAUAUACUUAUAUAUGUAUAUAUUUAUACAUAUGUUUGGAGCGUUUACUUGCUUAUAUAUAUAUAUAUAUAUAUAUAUAUAUAUAUAUAUAUAUAUAUAUACAUUUCUGUCAGGCCUGGAGUUUACUUUGUGUCAUUUCACUCCUUUAUUUACAUUUCGUCCUACCCGGAGUUUACUUCGUGGCGGUUGAUCAUUUUUACUAUUUUAUUUACAUUUAGUCCCGCCUGGAGUUUACUUCGUGGCGGUUUAUCGUAUUUAUUGCUUUAUUUACAUUUCUAAUCCCCCAUGGAGGUGCUUCGUAGUGGUUGAUCAUGUCUCUCUAUAUAUAUUUACCGCUUUUAUAUAUUUACAUUUUUGAUCCCCCAUGGAGGUGCUUCGUGGUGGUUGAUCAUGUAUGUAUAUAUAUAUUUACAGCUUUUAUAUAUAUAACUGCUUACUGCUUUCAUAUAAAUUGCGGCAUCAUGUGAGCCUAGGAAUCAUGGAUCACAGAUUAGGUCUACUAAAUCUAGAUUCGGUUCCCGUGAUGGACAUUUUCAGUUGUACGCAGCUUGUAAAUUAUUCAUGAUGUUUGAAUUUCCUUAGAUGGAUUUAAUGCCCAUGAGGAGUUCGGCACUGCUAUAUAUUAUUUUCUCGAAGAUGUUUCGCAUCUCAAAAAUAAAAGCAACCAAGCCGAACAUUUAAUAAUAAAAUAGAAGUAUCAAAGACCUCAAUUACUAUUGAGCACGGGGUUUGAAAAAACCUCUUUUACAAAAUCUCAUUGCUAUAUCUUGUUUAAAACUAAAUUUUUCAUACAAAUUCAAACCCUGUGUAUAUAGGUGCGAAUGAGGCAUAGCACUACUUCAAAAUAAAUUUCACAUUGAUCCACACACACACAUACACAUUAAUAGAAUAGUUUCUUGAAAAGUGGCGGUCACCGUGGUAACACGGAUGUCGGGGGGUGCCUAACACCUUCCCUCCGCAUAAUCAAGCCCCCGAACCCAAAUGAAUCUCGGUUUCACAGACCCGUUUAGCAGUUUCACAUCACUGGGUCAAUGUGCAAACUUUUUCUCGGUUACGUUGGUGCAACCAGUUAAAAACACCAACUGGCAACUCUUACAGUCAAAUCAUCGACAUAUACAUAUCGGACCUUUUUCACUUGUUUUUUCAAACAAAUCUCACCUAACAUGAGAACACCAAAGAACAAGAACAGAAAAGGGACAAAUAAAAAAUCCCGACGUCGACAGCAACUAUGGUUGAAAAGUUUUAUCAUUUACCAUAUGUUCUAAAUCUCUGUUUUAUUACUGACGAAGGCUAUUGAUAAUUUAAUUAUCUUUAGUCAUGAUAUUCUUUAUUGAGCUAGUUGUGCUCACCCUUUUGCUUCACAAUUCCUUUCAGGUAAUAAGAGUGUAGCUAGGUCGAGCGGGGGUAACAGGGGAAUAGAACGGUGGUCUAUAGCUGUUGAGGUUUCCCCUAAAAAGUAUGGAAAUAAUUUUAUUGAGAAUUUUAGAUAAAUGUGUCGUAUUGUAUACGUCAUUUAACCGUUGAUUUUGGUGAACCGAAUAGGGUGAGGUGAACUAACUUUGGAAGGGUGUUUUGUCAAUAUCAUACAAGAUGUCUAAUGACCUACGACUUCAUGUUAUCAUAAGACAGGGUUGUGCACAUCCACUUGCUGAUUAUAUCUAUGAGCACUAGCUAUAUAAUCUUAGAGUUUUGUUGAAAUAUAAUUCUCAACUGGAGAUAAUGGAGAUAAUUAUAUGUCAAGAGAAGACUCACCAUUGGAAAGAACAUGAUAGCAAUCUUCUCAUUUUUCUUUGGGGUCUAUUCGGUCAACUAAGGAUAAUUCUCGAGUCAUAUGAUAUAUAUUAUAACUUAGAUGCAUGGCCUCCCAUGUACGAAGGUUUCCUUGAGCAUUUUCUAGAGAUUUUAAUUUCUAAAACAGUUAUUGACUAUACCUUUAUGUAAGGUAUCAAUGUGAGGUGUUAUCUAAGUAAAGGGAUGAGAGUCACAGUUGGUAUUAAAACUCACAAUAUAUGUAUUGUCGUAUUUUGCACGACAAUUGUAAUAAAAAGUUAUAGUUUUUUUUUGUACCAUGUAUUUGGCAACCCAGAAUGGGUUGGGUGGAUUGGACCUAUUUUAGGGGGCGUCACAAUUUCUUUAUCUCAAAUGAUAUUCUUCAUUGUGGCUAAAAAAAUUCUUACCUUUUGGAAAAAUUAAUCCAUUUUUUCUAAGCAAUGCAUCUUUAAGUACUCUACCAUCUGUAGCCAACCCUUCCCAACCAGGCAACACAUAUAAAAAUUACAUCUUUGGUGAACAAACUCCUAAAACAUUUGUUGUAAUUUCACUUUUUCUGUUUCUGUACCUAGGCUUGUCCUCUAUGGGUAAGUUCAUUCUUAUGUGAGUCCCAUCCAAAGCCCCUAAACAAUUCUAUAAUAACAUAGACAUGGAUUACAAGAUAUACUUAAACAUAGGAGGUUGUGUUAAAAAUGUAUGUGUGUAUGUGUGCAAAUUGUACCUUGAAAUACUUCUACUUUUCAUCAGUUGAGUCAUCAGCAAUUGGUUUGAGAUUCUUAAAAAAUUCUCCUUGCAAUCUUAAAUCUUCAUUAACUACCUUAUGAAAAUGCCUACUUAUCGACUCCCCAGACCUUUCAAAGUUAAAUUUGAUAACACGAUUUUUUGAAUGGUGUCCCAGUAUAUACAAGAAUAUUACAACUUGUUCAAUUACAUCUAUGUAUUUAGUUGAACGUAAGUAACUUUUCGUCUUGAACAUAUGAAACUCAAUUUAGAAAGGUACUCAUAUUCAUCCUAAGUUGUUCAAUACAAUUAUUAUCACCUCCAUUGAUUAACUUAUCAAUGUAACGUGUCCUCCACAACUUAUAAAUAGAAUAUUGUUACUUGAAAGCUUUCCACCUAAUCAAACCCAUAAUUUGAAGAAAAAAAAACAAUUCACCAAUGUAAUCAUAUACAACCACGUUGUAAAUAGUAUAACAAUUCUCUUCUUCAUGAUAUUCUUCCUUGUAGCUAAAUUAAAUCGAGUCAUUAUUGCAUUUAGAGAGUCAAAAUAACUAAUUAUAACAUAAGCCAACUUCCAAACAUUAGUUUAUUAUAAAGUCACAUAAAAAGAAACACAAACAUAAAAGCAUGAGACGACAAGAAAUUCCCUAAAUACACACUUUCCCAGUGUAAAAAGUGUAUAAAUGGCAAGCAUCUAUAUGUUUAGCGUUCCUUUUAUUUCCUCUUAUGUCUGCCUAUUUAAAAAGUGUAUUAAUGUAUCUUUUGCAAGUUAGAAGUUGAAGUUCACCUUGUGUGGAGAGAGUAACAAAUGUACAAAAUCACAACGAACAAUACCCUCUCAAACAAGAAAACUUCAAAAGCAUAAAAUUCAUGUGCGUUAGCAGCUAAUAGAAGUAUAAGUUACUCAUCUAUUGAAACUUAUCUCCUUAAACAAAAUCUUACCUAAUCCUAGUGUUAAACCUAAAAAACAUGAAGCAGUGAGAUCAGUUAUCACAUUGAACUCAUCAUUCCAGUACCCCAAAAAAACUAAUUUCAUUUAUUCAUGGUCCAAAAACCAAUUUCAAGAUAGGAUUAAUCCAUUGAAUAAGUCACAUGGGGCGGUGUUUGUACUAUGCGCAUGAAAGUAGGAAUCAACACCAGUGUUGUCACUUGAAUGACUUUCAAGCCCAAUCCUUAUAUAAUGCAUACGUGCAACAUUACAAGUGGUUCUGGUUCAAUCAUCAAGUGUCACUACUCCAACAACUAAGACUUUCAAGCAAACAAAAAUAAUGAUCCCCAUAUCCCCCAUCCCCAAUCCAAAUUUACACAACUAAUAAAAUUCAGGAGUUUGUUGUACCAAGUAACUUACUACAAGAGCUUAUUUCAUAUUAAUCGAGCUUAUUUCAUAUUAAUUGAGCUUAUAAUCUGUCUAUAUCGUUCAGUACAUGUAAAUCACUAAAAUGUAAAUAGGGGUUUGCUCUAUAAUUCACUAAUUAUUGAAAACUAAAAAGUGAUUGUGAGGCUUUUGUUUGUUCCCUAUUCUAAUCUUCAUAAGGUCAAUACAUCAAACAUAUGGUGCACAUAUAUCCAAAAUCAAAAUUGAUUGAGCACCAAAUUCACUACAUAUAACCAAAAUCAGACUUGAUUAAGCACAAAUGAAUGAACAAAAUGAAGAAUUAAUUACAAAUAAAUAAACUGAUAUUAGAUGUCUUACCGAAUUAAAAGAGAACAGGAGAAGAGUAGAAGAAUAAAAAUUACCCUAAAAAAAGAAAAUCAAUUUGAGAGGAUAGAUGUAGGAGAUAUAGGAGAGAACAGAGAGGACAAAAUAGAGAAAGGAGAGAGAAGAGGGACAUGUACCUGUGAUGGAGGACAUGAGAGUCGAGCGAAGCUAUUCGGCGAUGGGAUCGAUCGAUCGACAUCGAAGAAGAUAAAGUCUAGUGAAAACACGAAUAAAGCUCGAUUGGAAUGAAAUAAACCCACAUAUUUAGAAAGUAAUGAAAAAUAACAUUUCAAAGUGACUAACCAAAUAUGUUUUAAGUCAUUUUAAAAAUAAUGACCAUUCCAUUCUCAGCCCAUUCCAUUCC
This 8672-nucleotide long non-coding RNA is filed under the name Panax ginseng (ginseng). RNAcentral describes it as "long non-coding RNA (PGIN_LNC012445)". The record is from RNAcentral. Lineage: Eukaryota; Viridiplantae; Streptophyta; Magnoliopsida; Apiales; Araliaceae.